CUUCACUCUGGCUUGCUGAUAGUUUUAUCUUGCAGCAUUAUUCUGAACGUUGCUCUCAUUUGUAUGAGAUAUAAACUGACCUGUACGCACUGUGCAGAUGAAAAGAACAGUGAUAUAUCAAAAGUGGAAUGGUCACGCAAGCAAUGCCAUGACGAGGACACACUGAAUUACGCUGCCCUGAACCUUAAGAAGCCAAAUCCCAGGAGACAGAAGAAAGACGGGAAUAAUGACACUCUGUAUUCUGACCUCCGCUACAGAGAUUAUGAAUAAAGAUGCUUCUCAUUCAUGUCAGUCACACAGAGUGUUCAGGGUGUAGCUUUAAUAAUGUUCAGAGGAGGGCAGGGGAGCCAGUGCUUCUGAGAC
This is a long non-coding RNA of Brienomyrus brachyistius, 363 nucleotides long. RefSeq lists it as uncharacterized. Lineage: Eukaryota; Metazoa; Chordata; Actinopteri; Osteoglossiformes; Mormyridae. The record is from RefSeq and is a predicted model, not a curated record. The transcript has 3 exons.